This 250-nucleotide unclassified non-coding RNA is filed under the name Hevea brasiliensis (rubber tree). The record is from RNAcentral. Lineage: Eukaryota; Viridiplantae; Streptophyta; Magnoliopsida; Malpighiales; Euphorbiaceae.
CGCCAUCAUAGCCCAAGUGCUCAAGUACAUCGAAGUCGCCUCUUCUGUUGGUGUGGCCGCAGCCAGAGUCGAGGGUGUACCUGACGUCGCGCACCGAAGCUCCGUUAUAGAAUCUGAAGUUGUCGAGUAUGUCGUUAAUGCAGUUGAGCACGAGGUUGGUCUCAUCCAGACAAGGUCCAUUGCAGUACUCAUCGGUGGCACUACGUGGUACGCUUAGAGUCCCUUGUGCGCCCAGUCUGUAGGACUCCUG